CCUACGGGUGGCAGCAGUGAGGAAUAUUGGUCAAUGGCCGGAAGGCUGAACCAGCCAAGCCGCGUGAGGGAGGAAGGCGCAGAGCGUCGCAGACCUCUUUUGCCGGGGGACAAAAGGCCGGACUCGUCCGGUCCUGAGGGUACCCGGAGAAAAAGCAUCGGUAAACUCCGUGCCAGCAGCCGGGGUAAUCCGGAGGAUGCGAGCGUUUCCCGGAUUCAUUGGGUUAAAGGGGUGGGCAGGCGGGCCUUUAAGCCGGCGGUGAAAUCCCGGGGCUCAACCCCGCCGAGCCGUCGGAACUGGGAGCCUUGAGUGCGCCGGAGGCAUGCGGAAUGCGCGGUGUAGCGGUGAAAUGCAUAGAUAUCGCGCAGAACCCCGAUUGCGAAGGCAGCGUGCCGUGCCGCCACUGACGCUGAGGCACGAAAGCGCGGGGAUCGAACAGGAUUAGAUACCCGGGUAGUC
This 459-nucleotide ribosomal RNA is filed under the name uncultured bacterium. RNAcentral describes it as "partial 16S ribosomal RNA". It matches the Rfam family "Bacterial small subunit ribosomal RNA", at positions 338 to 795 of the family's 1533-position model. The record is from RNAcentral.